GCAAGUCGAGCGGAAACGACAUUAUUGAAUCUUCGGAGGAUUUAAUGGGCGUCGAGCGGCGGACGGGUGAGUAAUGCAUAGGAAAUUGCCUUGAUGUGGGGGAUAACCAUUGGAAACGAUGGCUAAUACCGCAUAAUGCCUACGGGCCAAAGAGGGGGAUCUUCGGACCUCUCGCGUCAAGAUAUGCCUAGGUGGAAUUAGCUAGUUGGUGAGGUAAUGGCUCACCAAGGCGACGAUCCCUAGCUGGUCUGAGAGGAUGAUC
This 262-nucleotide ribosomal RNA is filed under the name uncultured bacterium. RNAcentral's name for it is "partial 16S ribosomal RNA". It matches the Rfam family "Bacterial small subunit ribosomal RNA", at positions 57 to 305 of the family's 1533-position model. The record is from RNAcentral.